This 479-nucleotide ribosomal RNA is filed under the name uncultured bacterium. RNAcentral's name for it is "bacterial SSU rRNA". It matches the Rfam family "Bacterial small subunit ribosomal RNA", at positions 29 to 506 of the family's 1533-position model. The record is from RNAcentral.
UUGAACGCUGGCGGCAUGCCUUACACAUGCAAGUCGAACGACGGCAGGGGGCAACUCCUGUCGAGUGGCGAACGGGUGAGUAAUACAUCGGAACGUGUCCCGUCGUGGGGGAUAACCAGUCGAAAGACUGGCUAAUACCGCAUGAGAUCGAAAGAUGAAAGCGGGGGACCGCAAGGCCUCGCGCGACGGGAGCGGCCGAUGCCGGAUUAGCUAGUUGGUGGGGUAAAGGCUUACCAAGGCGACGAUCCGUAGCUGGUUUGAGAGAACGACCAGCCACACUGGGACUGAGACACGGCCCAGACUCCUACGGGAGGCAGCAGUGGGGAAUUUUGGACAAUGGGCGCAAGCCUGAUCCAGCCAUGCCGCGUGUGUGAAGAAGGCCUUCGGGUUGUAAAGCACUUUCGGACGGAACGAAAUCGCGCGGGCGAAUAUCCCGCGUGGAUGACGGUACCGUAAGAAGAAGCACCGGCUAACUACGU